Molecule: small nucleolar RNA, 73 nt
Organism: Betta splendens (Siamese fighting fish)
Lineage: Eukaryota; Metazoa; Chordata; Actinopteri; Anabantiformes; Osphronemidae
Source: Ensembl
GGUGCAUAUGAUGGUUUUACGCGAUCAAAGUAUGAAAGAGCAUGAUUUCAGCUUUUUAAACUACUGAUGCACC